Molecule: ribosomal RNA, 657 nt
Filed under: uncultured Planctomycetota bacterium
Lineage: Bacteria; Pseudomonadati; Planctomycetota
Description: bacterial SSU rRNA
Rfam family: Bacterial small subunit ribosomal RNA
Source: RNAcentral
GUGAGGAAUACAUGGGUAACGUGCCCCGGACUCAGGGAUAGCGGCGGGAUCUUCGGAUCCCUUUGCGAAAGUGCCGGUAAUACCUGAUGACCCAGCGGAUCGCAUGGUCUUGCUGGCAAAGGUCCGCCGGUCCGGGAUCGGCCCACGUCCUAUCAGCUUGUUGGUGAGGUAAUGGCUCACCAAGGCUUCGACGGGUAUCGGGCGUGAGAGCGUGACCCGACACAUCGGAACUGAGACACUGUCCGGACACCUACGGGUGGCUGCAGCAACGAAUCUUCCGCAAUGGGCGAAAGCCUGACGGAGCGACGCCGCGUGGAGGAUGAAGUCCCUUGGGAUGUAAACUCCUGUCAGGGGUUAGGAAGAUCUGACCAACCCCAAAGGAAGCACCGGCUAACUCCGUGCCAGCAGCCGCGGUAAUACGGAGGGUGCAAGCGUUGUUCGGAUUCAUUGGGCUUAAAGCGCGCGUAGGCGGGGUGGCGGGUGCCUUGUGAAAUCCCUCGGCUCAACCGAGGAACUGCUCGGCAAACCUCCACUCUUGAGGCAGGUAGAGGCGACUGGAACCUUUGGUGGAGCGGUGAAAUGCGUAGAGAUCAAAGGGAACACCGAUGGCGAAAGCGAGUCGCUGGGCCUGUCCUGACGCUGAGGUGCGAAAGCGUG